AUGUUUGGGCGGUGCUGGGUUAGGGUUACCUAAUCAUCCUUUCUAGUUUCUAGUUCUCCAUCGUCACUCUCCACUCUCCAGACUCUCCAUCCAGUUCAGAAUCUAGUCAGUUCAGCCGCUGAACUUCAGCGUAUUACUAUUCAAAUGGAAACACCUGGUAACGAAACACCGGUUGUUACUCUUGAUGAAGAAUCCCCAAACG
Molecule: long non-coding RNA, 202 nt
Filed under: Helianthus annuus (common sunflower)
Lineage: Eukaryota; Viridiplantae; Streptophyta; Magnoliopsida; Asterales; Asteraceae
Description: sRNA HanXRQr2_Chr16g0750111
Source: RNAcentral